RNAcentral lists this ribosomal RNA (380 nucleotides) under uncultured Leptospirillum sp. Its description in RNAcentral is "bacterial SSU rRNA". It matches the Rfam family "Bacterial small subunit ribosomal RNA", at positions 447 to 827 of the family's 1533-position model. The record is from RNAcentral. Lineage: Bacteria; Pseudomonadati; Nitrospirota; Nitrospiria; Nitrospirales; Nitrospiraceae.
GGACCUGAAUAAGGUUGCCCGAUGACGGUACCGGGAGAAUAAGCCACGGCUAACUCUGUGCCAGCAGCCGCGGUAAGACAGAGGUGGCAAGCGUUGUUCGGAGUUACUGGGCGUAAAGAGUCUGUAGGUGGUCUGUCAAGUCUUUGGUGAAAGGCCGUGGCUUAACCAUGGGAAUGCCAAAGAGACUGGCAGACUGGAGGCUGGGAGAGGGAAGCGGAAUUUCUGGUGUAGCGGUGAAAUGCGUAGAUAUCAGAAGGAAGGCCGGUGGCGAAGGCGGCUUCCUGGAACAGACCUGACACUGAGAGACGAAAGCGUGGGGAGCAAACAGGAUUAGAUACCCUGGUAGUCCACGCCCUAAACGAUGGGUACUAAGUGUGGGA